GCCGGAGAAGGCGCCUGAGAGAUAGCGACUUUAUCCACGGGUAGCAGCAGGCGCGAAACUUUCCCACUCGAGACUUUCGGAGGAGGUAAUGACCAGUUCCAUUGGUGCCUUUUGGUACUGUGGAUAGGGGUACGGUUUUCCACCGUACCGAAACCUAGCAGAGGGCCAGUCUGGUGCCAGCAGCUGCGGUAAUUCCAGCUCUGCGAGUUUGCUCCCAUAUUGUUGCAGUUAAAACGCCCGUAGUCUGAAUUGGCCAGCAAUGGUCGUACGUAUUUUUACGUUCACUGUGAACAAAUCAGGACGCUUAGAGUAUGGCCACAUGAAUGACUCAGCGCAGUAUGAAGUCUUUGUUUUCUUCCGAAAACAAGCUCAAUGAGAGCCAUCGGGGGUAGAUCUAUCUCAUGACGAGUGGUGGAAUACUUUGACUCAUGAGAGAGAAGCUGAGGCGAAGGCGUCUACCUAGAGGGUUUCUGUCGAUCAAGGGCGAGAGUAGGAGUAUCCAACAGGAUUAGAGACCCUGGUAGUUCCUACCUUAAACGAUGCCGACAGGAGUUUGUCAUUUGUUAAUGGCAGAAUCUUUGGAGAAAUCAUAGUUCUUGGGCUCUGGGGGAACUACGACCGCAAGGCUGAAACUUGAAGGAAUUGACGGAAGGGCACACCAGGGGUGGAGCCUGUGGCUUAAUUUGAAUCAACACGGGGAAACUUACCAGGACCAGAUGUUUUUUAUGACUGACAGGCUUCGGGUCUUUCAGGAUAUUGUUUUUGGUGGUGCAUGGCCGUUGGUGGUGCGUGGGUUGACCUGUCUAGCGUUGAUUCAGCUAACGAGCGAGAUUAUCGCCAAUUAUUUACUUUGCCGAAGUCCUUCGGUUUAAGUUCUAAUUGGGACUCCCUGCGAUUUUA
This 900-nucleotide non-coding RNA is filed under the name Trichomonas vaginalis G3. Its description in RNAcentral is "Eukaryotic small subunit ribosomal RNA". It matches the Rfam family "Eukaryotic small subunit ribosomal RNA", at positions 382 to 1432 of the family's 1831-position model. Lineage: Eukaryota; Parabasalia; Trichomonadida; Trichomonadidae. The record is from Rfam by way of RNAcentral.